Long non-coding RNA from Chlorocebus sabaeus (green monkey), 3736 nucleotides. RefSeq lists it as uncharacterized. The record is from RefSeq and is a predicted model, not a curated record. Lineage: Eukaryota; Metazoa; Chordata; Mammalia; Primates; Cercopithecidae.
GGUGGGUGCUGCGGCGUGUGACGUCUCUAGUAGUGUCGGAACUGGGUGUGCUGCCUUCCCCAGGUGUACUGAGGUCUUCGUGAGAUUCAGGCCUAGGAUUCGUGUGGCUGUAUCACGUUUCGAAUGAAGCUUAAAAGGCUGGAGUGCAGCAGCACCAUCAUGGCUCACUGUAACCUUGAAGUGCCAGGCUCAGGUGAUCCACGUCAGCAUUUCAAGUAGCUUAAACUACAGAGAUCGUGAUCACUUUUCUCUUCCACAAGACAUCACACUGGUCUAUCUUACUGAGGACAUUAUGCGGAUUGGACCCAGUGAGUGAGAAGCAGCAAGCACAGUGGACUUAUUGUGCUGGAUGCUUCCUGCCCUCGAACAUCAGACUCCAAGUUCUUCGGCUCUUGGACUUACAAUAGUGGUUUGCCAAGGGACUCUCGAGCCUUUGGCCACAGACUGAAGGCUGCACUGUCGGCUUCCCUACUUUUGAGGUUUGGGGUCUCAGACUGAUCCACUACUGACUUCCUUGCUCCUCAACUUGCAGAUGGCCUAUCAUGUGAUUGUGUGAGUCAAUUCUUCUUAAUAAACUCCCUUUCACAUAGACAUAUUUCCUACUAGUUUUGUCCCUCUAGAGAAUCCCAGAUGGGAUUCUGUCAUUCCCAGAUUUUUCCAGGGUUUCUGCCAUUGCUUCCCCAUUUUCUCACCAACUACCGUCCAGCACACAUGCCAUGGGUUUGACUUCUUUCUCAUAGACACUUACUGAUAUUUUAGUUUUCUGCAUUAUCUCCAGUUCUUUCUCUUCCUUUGGUCUUGGAAAAUCUUGCCACAACUUUGUGUUGUCCAGAUUCUUCUUAGGCCUCUGAGCAUUUCUUCAUUGUCUAUUUUUUUUUUUGGAUAUUUGUUCCAUCAUCUGUCCAUGAAAUACUCAGCUUCUAACAUUCCAUUUUUGGCCCACUGUCUUUCUCAGUUUUUCCCAGGUUACCUCAUCCACUCCCAAGGAUUUAACCACCACUUCCAUACUAAUGACUCUUGAACCUACAGCUUUAGUCCAAAAUCCAUGUCCCAUUGCUGUAUAUCUGUCUUUGAUCUCCCACAAGCUAAUAAAGCUCAACUUGUCCCAAACUCUAUAUAUCUUCUGAAAAUCUGUAUUUUUCUCUUGCAUUCUUUCUCUUCAGUGGUGGAUAUCAUUACAAACUGCUCGGUUAUUAAGGAAAAAUGUUCAGUGCUUUGAGGAUGUUUAGUAGAGGCACUCUCUGUCUAGGAUCGGGAGUGGGGAUGCGAGAAAAGGUUCUCUCACUUAGAUAUUAUUGAGGCUGGCAUCUCCAGAUAUGCACAGCUCAAGAGUCCAACUGCAUCACUUCCUUGCCCCAGACCUUCAGGAAAAACAUGCAGUGGUGCCCCCAGCGGGUAGCCAUCUUGAUAGAGAGGAGUGUGUUAUCAUUGUUUAGAUUCGUUGGCAAUAUAGUCAGUUUUAUUAUUGUUUUCUAAUACUCAACAGACAGUCUACCCCCUUUUUGUCUGCACCCAGCAUGGUUCACUCACAUUGCCCUACUCCUUGGUACUCCACUGAAAACUUGAAGGCCUCCACCCUCCUCUCCUUAUCCCUAUCUGCCCUUCAGCCAAGGCCAAAUCACUCUGUUGUUCCUCAUUUCUGUGUCUUUUCUCAUGUUCUUCCCUCUGCCUGGAAUUCCUUCUACUCUGUACACACACUGUAUCUAGUUUACCCCUACUCUUUAAGAUUCAACUUAAAUAUCACUUCCCCCAGGAAGCUGUCCCUGCUCACCCAAGGCUGAGUCACAUGCCCUUCCUUGGACUUCCAUGGUAUCUUCUAAAUACUAAAUUUCUGCAUUGGCCACAUUGUACUCUAAUCUGUUCAUGAUUUUGUCUCUCUCAAUUACUGUGUGCCAAAUGAAGUAGUCUUUUUCACUUUUUUAUUCACUGAGAUCCGAGGAAACACUACAUUAUUCAUUUUCAUAUCUCCGGGAUCUAGGGAAAUACUUGUCACAAUAUUGAUGAGAAAGGUGUUUACAUCAUGUUGUGACACAAGCUUUAAAUUCUGCAGAACACUUAUUUUUGUGGGAAAAAUAAUAUUUGGAGCAUGCCCUUAGGGUCUCCCUCCACUUCCUUUCCUGGUACCCUUUAGAAACCUUUAUGUGAACCUUCCACAUAUAUAUGGAAGGCUCAGGUCGGUCUUCAACACCACUGCCUUGAUUCUACAAAUUUACAAAGUGAAAGACAUUUUUCCGUUUUAAAGCAUGCUCUUCUCCAGCUUUCUGCAGAGCUUCCAUUUUUGCAAGACAGUGACUGAGAGUCUGGUAUUCAAUUAUUAUUCUAUUCAUUUAACUGCACCAGUAAAUAGUGAUAGAAUUCAGAACUCAGAGCUAUCACAACAUGGAAUUUUUAAAAGGCACUUGAAAUCCUUGAAAGCAGAAGCAGAGACAUUUAAAAUACAGAGGACAGGGAACCAAAUUGUGAAAUGUUCUCUCUAUAAUCUUCAUCAAAGAGAUGUGCUUUGAAAUGAUUCCUAUUCCAGGGAAGAAAAUACGAUCUGCUCCUCUCUUCCCAUGACCACCAUUUACAAAGCACCACCAAGUUUUACAGAUAUUUUCUUCCCAGUGUCUCUCGUAACCAUUCCUUCCUUAAGGUUUCAUAAGAACCAUAUGAAUGUUCUUUGACAUCAUAUAUUAUAUGCAGUGAUUCUUUAAAUAGUGUUCUAGUGUUGAGAUGGCAAAAAGCUCUGGAAGCACUGGUGUGCUGGUAAAUGUUUCACAGUCAGCUCUCAGGGGAAAGAAGCUCUGUUGGUAGUGUUUGCCAGUCUCCAUGGUGUAAAUAUUCCCACCAAGGCAGAUUUCAAGCUAUCAACUUGAUGUCACUGAAUGAGGAGCUGGGGAAAGGUGGACCCCAUCGUCUGUACUGAACCAAUACAAGCUGCUGUAUAUCAGCUCUAGCACAUUUCUGGAUGGACGAUUAAUUUUUCUCAAGCACCAUUUAAGACAGGCUAUUCUCAGAUUCAGAAAUCUACUCAGACUUCUACUGUCUACCAUGGAAAUAGAAAAAAAAACAGUCUGUCCGCUUUUCCCUAUCACCACAAAUACUAUGUUGGGCUACUUGAUUGGAGUCUGCAUUAACUAGUUAAAUGAUCUCCCUGGUUUCACUCUUACCUGUACAGUUCUUCUCCCUACAGCAAUCAGAGUAAUUGUUUAACACCAAUUUGAUUGUGUUACCUGCCCGGAGGCAAUAUUGCACCACACCAGGAACUAUGCCACUGGUGCAACAUGAAGUUGUGCGAUACCCAGGCUAUUCAACCAUACUCGGCACCCCGACCUCUGCUUAAAAUCCUCAGAGGUUUUCCAUUACAUUUAGGGAUUUGUAUAUUUGUGUUUAUAUAACAUAUGUUUUAACCUGGUCUCCAAAGGCCUGCAUGAUCUGACUGCAGCUUCCUCUCCUGUCCCAUCCAUGCCGCUCUCCCUCUGACUCACUUGGUUCCAGCUUCUCUGAACUUCCCAACUUCCUUCAAUUCCUCUGUCAUACCAAGCUCUCUCUAGGAUCCCACAUGGACCGCUCUUCUUUUUCAUCUUCCUCUGGUUAAACUUUCUUUCUGAAGUCUCUGCUCACGAGGCACUCUCCAGAGAGAUCUUUGAACCUCUGAUCUAAAUUAAGCCCCCUCAAUUAGUCUCUUUCAUGGCACAUUAUUUUCUCACUUCUCAGCAUUAUAGUGGGUACUGUCAUUAUGAGUGUUUUGGUGUCA